UCACGAUGAACUUUUUUUCAAUGUUACUUUUUAAUUUUUGCCUCUAUAUUUGGGCUUGUCACUUUUUACUCGGGGAUAGUAACUUUAUUGCCACAAAGCUGUGGAUUAGUACUUGAUUUCCUUUAUUGCACAGCGAUGACUAUGAUUUAAUAGCACAAAAAGCUAAUGGGUUUAUGUGAAUUUAUAUGAUUAAUGCUUACUUGUGAUUUUAGGAUAACUGGAGAUAAUGAUUUCUUUUUUCCAUUGAUAUUACAUAAAUAUUUUCCUAAGUAUUAUGUUACAAUAAAUUGGUUUAGAUUUUUUUUUUUAUAAAAGUAAUCAAUAAUUACAAUGGAAAUUAAAACCAUAAUCAUGUUCAUUGAGGAUUUUCAAUAUGUAACAGGUCAAACAGGAACUUCAAUUGUGAACAUUGCAGAGAACACACUCAUCAGAAGAUGACCCUCAGAAAUAGGACAAUUAAUGAAUAAAAUGGACAGAGGCAGAACUGAAGGAGAUGCAUGAAAUGAGGAAUAUUUCAAAGAUUGCCUGAGCAUAACCACUGCUACUGGAUAAACAUAUGGCAAUAUAAAAGAGCAGGGUCAAUGGAGGUAUCAUACAGUAUAGGCCAUGAGAGACCCUGAAGAAGAAAGUAUUGAACAGAAACAAAAAUAAAACCAUUUUGACAUUUAUUGAAAUAUAGGAUCAAAGUCUUACAUGUAAAAUUUGGGCAUGUAAUGACUUUUCUCUAGCUCUAAGACUUAUAACAGUGAUGAUUUGAUUUAAUAUCUUUAUCCCGAUUUGUCGAAAAGAUUUGGACAUAGUGCAUCAAUUAUUUUAAAGUUUUGAUACAACGAAUUCAUUCAUUGUACUUGUUACUGAGUUUUCUGGUGUGACACUGUUUUAUCGGCUUCAAAACUUAGUUUGUGAUUUCCAAACCAGAUUAAUGAGAUCAUGUAAUAUCUUUUAACAUCGGUGACUAUUUAAUCCAUUCUUUUACAUCUCAGAAGUAUUUUUAUUAUUACAGGGAAAAUAUGCAUUGUACAUGUAUCUGUAAUAAACAAGAUUAUAGAAAUUUUCCAUAUAAUACAACACAAUCUUAGCAACUGAAGGCAAAUAUUUUAUCAAGGGUGUGAUCUAUUUAUCAAUAUGGUUUUCAGCAUCUUGCUCUACCUGUAAUGACUUGCUCCAAGUUCCAAUAUUUAAAUUUAAAUUUUGCAAACAUGGUUAUAAAAUUCUUUAAAAGCCAAAUAGUUUAGGCACAAAAUGCUUAUAUAUUUCCUAUCAUUUGUAAAGUGUACACUGAAUGAGAUGUGGAAUGUUAGAAUUAAAGUAUUAAAUAUG
Molecule: long non-coding RNA, 1320 nt
Organism: Saccostrea cuccullata (small rock oyster)
Lineage: Eukaryota; Metazoa; Mollusca; Bivalvia; Ostreida; Ostreidae
Exons: 2
Source: RefSeq, a predicted model, not a curated record